Molecule: long non-coding RNA, 855 nt
Organism: Helicoverpa zea (corn earworm)
Lineage: Eukaryota; Metazoa; Arthropoda; Insecta; Lepidoptera; Noctuidae
Exons: 2
Source: RefSeq, a predicted model, not a curated record
GAGCUAUCAUAUGUUUACAAAACAGUACAAAUUAAAGUUCCUCAUCUCGUAUUUAGGGCAGAGAAUCCACAAUCCUUCAUUGUCGUAUCAACCAGCAUACGCGACAGACGUGCAUACACUGUUAAUAAUAAUAAACAUUAUUAUUGUGACGUGAAGAUAAACAAAAACAAAUGAGUGUGUUGUGGUGAAACUUCAACGAUCAUUUGGAUGUAGUUGCUAAAUACACAAUGGCUAAAACAACGGUACUUAUUCUGAUGCUGUGUGCGACCAUAUUAGUAAAUGAAGCCACUAGCUAUAUACUACCAACACAAAGUAAAACAAUUGAAAACCAACUUACAGCAGGCGUCGAGAAAAACUCGACGAAAAAUGAAAUGUCAGAUGACUAUAGAAAAUACAGCUAUAUUAUAACCACGUAUUUAUAGUAUUAGUUAAUUAGUAGUAUGAGUAAGUAUUGACUAUAAACAUAAUGUGAGAAAUAAUCGUAUAUUUAUAUUUUCAAAUGAUAUAUUUUCUGACAAUGUUUUGGAAAUAAGAACUUAGUACAAUUCAUUGAAUUUUGAUGGUAUGGUGAAAAUUGUAUGGUUAGGUAUUUUAUAAUUUUAAAAAAUUACAUAAAAGUGAUGAUAUUUUUUUGCUUAUCUAAAAGUUAUAAACCGUCUAGCGAUACCUUACUUCGCUCUGAUUUACUCAACUGCGUUAGAAAUAUUCUGUUUGCCAUUCUUAGAGCCAAACACUUAUUAUAAUAUGUAUAAAAUAAACUAAUGUUCCUUCAUGUAGCAUUUAUAUUUGUAUGUAAAUAUCCUGACUGUGAGUAUUAAAAAUAGUGAUGAGAAAAUUAUACAUUUAAAUAUGACA